GGAACAGCAGAGGAAAAGAGAAGGGGAACAACAGCUGUGACUUGGGGCUGCCUGAACCCAGGAUCCAAAAUCACCGGUGAGGACGUAAAUCUGAUUUGGGAAUCUAUCGCAUCGGUGAUUCGGGAAACAAGAUGGUGGAACCAGUGCCAAGGCAGGAUUGGACUUCGGUGGUAGUUGUAAGGCUUGUGUCUAUGAGACACUAGGUUAUUGAUGGAUUUCACUGCUAUUAUUCAAUUAUUUCUAUUGAUGUAUAUAUUGAAGGUAUAUGUAAGAUUGUAAAUAUUACAUUUGUGGGUUAUUAACAAAUGAAUCUGGUAUUUUUUGUAAUUUAUCAUUUUAGUACAUCACCAGUGUUAUUUAUAUGAUUUUAUUAGCGUA
Long non-coding RNA from Macadamia integrifolia, 378 nucleotides. RefSeq lists it as uncharacterized. The record is from RefSeq and is a predicted model, not a curated record. The transcript has 3 exons. NCBI's taxonomy places the organism in Eukaryota, Viridiplantae, Streptophyta, Magnoliopsida, Proteales, Proteaceae.